UUCGUGGUUCAAUCCUACCUGCGCCCGUCUCCUUCUCCGACACAAACUCUCUUCGAGCUCGCACGCGCCCAUGGGUGUCCGGCACAGGUCGGUGCUUGCCUAGCCUCUCUCCCAUAAAUACUCCACGGUUGACGCGAUGGGAAAGAUGAAGGCGGAGCAACAAGAUGAUCAGCCGUAAGCCGAGACCGUUCCCACAGGCAAUUCAUCCGGCUACGUAUCUCGCCGAGGCCAAUGGCAGCAACAGCCGAGGCCCAAGUCGUUGGGAUUCCCUUUUUCUCCGCGGCACCAUACCCGGUAUCUCCGUACUGUUGCUCCGUUGCCGGUCGGCAGAAGGAGGUGGCCGGCGUCGCCCCCGUCUUCAAAUCCCCUGGUCACUCGAUCUCAUCCGCCGGCGCUGGGUGCCCGCACCAGAUUUGUGCUCCCUAUAUCGAGCGACCGACGGCUGCUGCUCCCAGCCCCGGAUCUGCUCCUCCUCGCCACUUGCAAACCGUGGCUCCGAUGAUCCACGACAGGGGAUGAUGACCCACGGCGACAGAGGAUGACGACGUAUGGUUGCUGCUUCCAAUCACCACCAUGGACCCGCCACUCCAACGACCAUGGCGGGGACGACCACCCAUGGAUGUAACUCCCCACCACCGGUCUUCUCCAUCGGUACAGCAAGCUGCUCCUCCAUCCUGUCCGUCCCAGCCAACGCCAGAGGCCUCCUCCGCUGCCUCCUCCGACCCAUGCUGUAGCAACCUUCAUACGAGGCCGCUAUGGUGCCGCGUCGGCUGCCCAGGAGGGUAGCUUGAGCUAGCACACAAAAGCCCAUUGAAGAGAUUGAUCCAAGUGCUUCUGAACUGUUAGGCCCUCAAAGUUUCAAGCAGAAGCCCAAAAGAAGAAGGAUCAAGAACAUCUGAUACUACUAUUGAAGAUAAUGCAGUAUGUGUGGAGGAAUGUGCCAAUUACAGGUGCAGGAAUGUGGUGGAUCAACUCUUCUUCACCUUGGGAUUGAUCAUAUUCAGAUGUAUUAUGAAUUUAUGAUGAGAUGGACAGCAUUGUAGUGACAUGGAUGAAGCACUGUAUUGAAAUAGAAGACGUGGACCUAUGAGGUGGUUGUCCGAUCGGCUAGGGCAAAAAACCAACACAAAGGCACACCCGGAUCGACCUGCACGUCAUCGCUAUUGGUGUCGCAACUUUGAGAUCGAUUUUCAGACCUGUCUCCAUGCUUUUGCCCCGGGUGUGAAAUCAACUUUCUAAGAUUGACCUGGCUAUUGUUUUCGCUUUCCUGCUCAAUACAAAAAAGGGAUUGUUCAGACUGAUUUAUGUUUGUGCAAGCAGCUCUCAAGGAACCUCCGCCGAAGAUUUACAAGGUGAAGGACUUGAACUGUAUCUCACGUCCACUAGCCCACACCCAGGUCUCCGCCAGCAGCCCUCCGAUUGCGCCACUGGUCCGCCUCUCUAAGUCUCUGUCGAUCGGCUGUUCUUCUCGGACCUUACCAGCAAACUCCUGUACUUCUCCACCAGAAAUAAAGUCCAUAUCUAUGAUGGAUAUACCAAAGAUGAUUUGUUCAACAAGAUGAGUGCUGCAGUAUUUAUAUGAACUGGAGUAAUGCAGUAGUGUAUCUGUAUGGUUUGAAAAUCCUUUCUUUUUCAGUUGUAUAUUAGAAUGGAAUUUGUACGGUUUGGUCUGCAUUUUCACAACCAAUAUGUGGAGUUGAAGUAGUGUAAAUUGUUUCACUUGCUUUUUGGCCAAUAUCCCUGUAUAUGUUUUGCUUUUUCACUAUUUAUUUGUACUGUUGCUUAAUGUAUUGUUUGGUCGUCUUCCUGUUCGGUCUGCAUCAAUGAAUUGACGCCCUGAAGCUCUUUUUGAUUUCUAUAAUCCGUAAGCACAUAUGAGCAUCGAAAGAAAAUAAUAUCCCAUGAUGAAACGUGAGCAAGCCUUGGUGUAUAUAUGAACGAACUGAUUUUUUUCCUGCAUUACAGGUGAAGGAAAAAAAUACAAUCUCCAUAAGCUCCGCGGCCUUGAGGCCGAUCCCCGGGUUUAUGCUCUUCUCUUUGUCUCAUAGUUGGAAUUUCUUAUGUUUUGACUAUAAAACUAAUGUAAGUGUGUUCUGUUGUCAUGCAUAGUUGGUGUUAGAUGGAGGAAUGCGAACGUGGAAGAGUACACGAAGAUUCUGUACUAUAAUGGGAUCAACUGCAGGGACAAGCAGCAUCACAUGACAAUCUUAGUUGUGUAUAUGGAAUUAUAGAUCAGUCGACUGGGAUAGCCGCCAAUCCUCAAUCCCAACCCAACUUCAAAAUCAAAAUCUUGCUCACUUGGCUAAUCGGCGAUGUUGAUAGUGGCAGGGAGGAGAUGGAUAAGGAGGACUAGGCAUUGGUGCUGAGGUGUCAAAUGGGAAAGAGGCACCGUCGAGCCUGGAUCACAACAAGGACAACGAUCUCGACCUGAGCAACAGGAAAAGACCACGAGCAAAUCAUGGCCAUGCACACCAAGGUAUUUUUUCUGGAGGAGGAUAAACCCCAGCCUCCCGUGGUCACUUAGUGCAUGGAUGUGAUUUAUGUGCUUGUGGGUUUUCCCAUCGUGAUAGAUACUAUAUCUGAUGUGUUUUCAUUCUUCACAAUAUAUUUUCAUUCCAAUCAACAUAUCUGAUAUGUUUUGAUUAACCUUACACUCUUAAGCGUACAUAAAAAAAUUAGAAGCUUAUCUUGUAAGGUUCAGUAGUUCCAUCAUGUUCAAACACUCAUAAGUUUCUAUUGAUUAGGAAGAUGUUGGCUUCACGUUGUUUUGCCUUUAGCUGCUGGUUUUUUGCUACGAUAAACUGAAAUAACUAAUGCACAUCUCCUAACAUAAGUUUUGGAUCAUGAAUUGUAAUUGAAAUCCAUAGAAUGCAGAUUAGAUGCACCAAGAAGGUAAAGAUUGUGUUGGCACAUACUACGAUCUGAUGUAGUGAUAUUCUGUUGCUUUUUGGUCAAUGUAAAUUGUAUUACGUUUUCAUGGAAGCCUUUUCUUUCCCCUCUCUCAUCAUACUACUGCUCUUAUCCUUGGUUCCCAUAUAAACAAAGGAAUAUGAUGGCUGACAUAGUGAUACUCUUCCUCAGCAACAUCCAGAUACAUGAUGUUCCAUCAACAACUUCAGAAUAUGCUGGUGAUGCUCAACCUGCAACUUUGCACCCAUACUGCCUGUUUGUUUUAUCUAGAAAAUUGACAGAUUUUUUAUGUGUUUCAUUAUGAACUAAUUAUUAGAAAAUAUUUCUUUGUGAAUUAUGAGAUUGAUCUUUCAACAUGGCAUAGAAAAUGCACUUUUCAAUACUUCUAAUAAUGUUUUGCUCCUUGCAAAGUUGUUUGAGUUUUUAUUUAAAAUUUCUAUGAACAAGUUUAUUUAUUGUGUACCCGUUGCAACGCACGGGCAUUUGUGCUAGUCUUUCCCUAAUAAUAAAGCACGGAUUGACUUUGUCGGGUUCACCAUCACAAUACGUUUUUUUCUCGUGAAUUUACGCUUUCAGUUUAAAUAAAAAACAUAUACGCGAGGUGGUACUAAUUGGUUAGUCCCUAAUUUUUGUCCGUCUUUGUUCGUCCGUCUAUCCUAUUUGGUCACGUACGGCUGGAUCACCAUAUGUAUGGGCCGUGCGUAACCAAAAUUCCCCGCAUGGGCCGCACAUAGCUUAUUUUGUGCAUCCCCGCAUGGGCCAAGGUGGGCCUAGUCGGAUAUUUUGGCAAAAUAAUAAAUUUACUUGCCUCAGGAAUUGAACUCGCGAUCUCUCAGACCAUACCAUACACACCUACCAACUAAGCCAUAUCAACGGAUGUGUAGUCAAGACGUUUACUUUUCUUAUUCAAUAGUACCACCUCGCCCCCUUACAACUGAAAGCACCAACAUAUAUACGUCUUAGAAUUACACCUUAUCAACCACCUCAAUAAGUCGGCUAAGGAAGGAAGGAAAAUGAGUCCAGGGAAGGAAAGAUAUAUACAUCCAUACUAUUAAAAUAGGCAGGAAGGUCUAGGUCAAGACGAGGUGGAUGAUUCAUCUGCCUAAGUUGGGUAGGGUCCAUCAACAACACGAAACUGCUCGGUAAAAGAAUAUUUCAGAGUUGCGCCUUAGAAAAUCAAGCCAUGAAAAUACUGUCAAUUUUUCUGUUUUUUCAAAGGCCUUUGAAAAAUAAUUAUCUCUUUGUGGCACAUAUUUACCUCCUCUUCAACGGUUUUCAUGUUAACUGGACCCCAUUAAAGAUUACAUCACCUAGGCGCCAACUCAAUAUGAGGGCGCUCAAAAACAAGCCGACGAACUUCCGCACUCGAGAAUUUAAAAAAAAUGUUUCAUGUCUACCACAUCUGCACAACCUGAUUCUCAUGCCUUGCAAGCUAUGUUACUUUAGUUGAAGGAAGGAUAAUGUAGGGAUGCUAUUUUCUCCCGUUGCA
Triticum aestivum (bread wheat) is the source of this 4399-nucleotide long non-coding RNA. RefSeq lists it as uncharacterized. NCBI's taxonomy places the organism in Eukaryota, Viridiplantae, Streptophyta, Magnoliopsida, Poales, Poaceae. The transcript has 3 exons. The record is from RefSeq and is a predicted model, not a curated record.